UGUUGCUGAAAUCUGCAUAAUGACUGCUUCCACUGUAUAGGCUGAACUCCAACCUUGUUUCGUUAAGAGUUCCAUGCAAAUUGCACCUCCUAUAAGGACGUAACCACCAGAGAUCAUGGGAUGCACAACUCUGACAAAUGGGGGUUCGAAUGGAAGUAUGAGAUCGCUGUGUAAAGGUGAAUCAGGAUCAACACACAUCAGCCUGACAUUCCAUUCAUACAAACUGUCAUUUACUAAUUCUAUGCUGUACAUUCCUACAACAAAUUUAAGUAAAUACUUG
RNAcentral lists this unclassified non-coding RNA (280 nucleotides) under Bombus terrestris (buff-tailed bumblebee). Its description in RNAcentral is "misc RNA ENSBTSG00005023394.1". The record is from RNAcentral. Lineage: Eukaryota; Metazoa; Arthropoda; Insecta; Hymenoptera; Apidae.